GACGAAGGUGGCUAGCGUUGCUCGGAUUUACUGGGCAUAAAGCGCGCGUAGGUGGUCGUGUAAGCGGGGGAUGAAAGCCCAUGGCUCACCCAUGGAACUGUCCCCCGGACUGCACGGCUCGAGGAAGGAAGGGGAGAAUGGAAUUCCCGGUGUAGCGGUGAAAUGCGUAGAUAUCGGGAGGGACGCCGGUGGCGAAAGCGAUUCUCUGGUCCUUUCCUGACACUGAGGCGCGAAAGCUAGGGGAGCAAACAGG
Molecule: ribosomal RNA, 253 nt
Filed under: uncultured bacterium
Lineage: Bacteria
Description: partial 16S ribosomal RNA
Rfam family: Bacterial small subunit ribosomal RNA
Source: RNAcentral